Molecule: unclassified non-coding RNA, 387 nt
Filed under: soil metagenome
Description: partial contains 5.8S ribosomal RNA, internal transcribed spacer 2, and large subunit ribosomal RNA
Rfam family: 5.8S ribosomal RNA (bases 1-120)
Source: RNAcentral
GAUGAAGAACGUAGCGAAAUGCGAUAAGUAAUGUGAAUUGCAGAAUUCAGUGAAUCAUCGAAUCUUUGAACGCACCUUGCACCCUUUGGCAUUCCGAAGGGUAUGCUCGUUUGAGUGUCAUUGUACUCUCACACUCUCCGAUCCUAUGGGUUCGGGGAGCGGUGGACUUGGGUGUUGCUGCCUUUCCCUGUGGCUCACCUCAAAUGCGUCAGUGCACCUCUUGGUUGGACAUAGUACGGCGUGAUAAGUGUCUUCGCCGGCACCUCGCAAGAGGGUGGCCGAUCGGGAGCUCUGCGCUUUCAAACCGUCUUCGGACAAUUUCUGACAUCUUGACCUCAAAUCGAGUAGGACUACCCGCUGAACUUAAGCAUAUCAAUAAGCGGAGGA